CGCGUAGGCGGUACUGAAAGUCAAAUGUGAAAUACCACGGCUCAACUGUGGAUCCGCAUUUGAAACUUCAAUACUUGAGUUCAGGUGAGGAGAAUGGAAUUCCAGGUGUAGGGGUGAAAUCUGUAGAUAUCUGGAAGAACACCAGUGGCGUAGGCGAUUCUCUAACUUGAUACUGACGCUGAGGCGCGAAAGCGUGGGGAGCAAACAGGAUUAGAUACCCUGGUAGUCCACGCUGUAAACGAUGGAUACUUGGUGUUGGAAGAGUUAAAUCUUCUAGUGCCGGAGCUAACGUGUUAAGUAUCCCGCCUGGGAAGUACGAUCGCAAGGUUGAA
Molecule: ribosomal RNA, 332 nt
Filed under: uncultured bacterium
Lineage: Bacteria
Description: bacterial SSU rRNA
Rfam family: Bacterial small subunit ribosomal RNA
Source: RNAcentral